UACGUAGGGUGCAAGCGUUGUCCGGAAUUAUUGGGCGUAAAGAGCUCGUAGGCGGUUCGUCGCGUCGGCUGUGAAAUCCCGAGGCUCAACCUCGGGUCUGCAGUCGAUACGGGCGGACUGGAGUACUGCAGGGGAGACUGGAAUUCCUGGUGUAGCGGUGAAAUGCGCAGAUAUCUGGAGGAACACCGGUGGCGAAGGCGGCGUUCUGGACUGCAACUGACACUGAGGAACGAAAGCCAGGGGAGCAAACGGG
Molecule: ribosomal RNA, 253 nt
Filed under: uncultured bacterium
Lineage: Bacteria
Description: partial 16S ribosomal RNA
Rfam family: Bacterial small subunit ribosomal RNA
Source: RNAcentral